Molecule: ribosomal RNA, 459 nt
Filed under: uncultured Methylomirabilota bacterium
Lineage: Bacteria; Methylomirabilota (SeqCode)
Description: bacterial SSU rRNA
Rfam family: Bacterial small subunit ribosomal RNA
Source: RNAcentral
GGGCUUGACAUCCCACGAACCUGCCCGAAAAGGUGGGGUGCCCGCAAGGGAGCGUGGAGACAGGUGGUGCAUGGCUGUCGUCAGCUCGUGUCGUGAGAUGUUGGGUUAAGUCCCGCAACGAGCGCAGCCUCACCCCUAGUUGCCACCGGGUUAAGCCGAGCACUCAAGGGGAACUGCCAGCGUCAAGCUGGAGGAAGGCGGGGAUGACGUCAAGUCAUCAUGCCCCUUACGCCCUGGGCUACACACGUGCUACAAUGGCCGGUACAAAGGGACGCGAGACUGCGAAGUGGAGCUAAUCCCAAAAAGCUGGUCUAAGUUCAGAUUGCAGUCUGCAACUCGACCGCAUGAAGGAGGAAUCGCUAGUAAUCGCGCAUCAGCCCGGCGCGGUGAAUACGUUCCCGGGCCUUGUACACACCGCCCGUCACACUACGAAAGCUGUCUGUACUCGAAGUCGCUGAG